AUGGAUGAUCUGCGGCCAGCAGUGGGUGUUUCCACCCUGGAGCACAACAGCCCUAGCAGCGAACCAGCUGGAGGAGCCAGACACAGAGAGGGGCUGUUUGCGGGGUGGGGAGGGGGGUUCGCUACGUCGGAUGACGAUUCGAGGGCCAGCACCAGCUCCUCCUCAUCUUCGUCCCCCAGUCAGCAAACCGAGAAAGAAACAAACACCCCCAAGAAGAAGGAGCGUAAAGUCAGCCUGAGCAAAAACUCCAGACUCCUCUCUACCAGCGCCAAGAGGAUUCAGAAGGAACUGGCAGACAUCACUUUAGACCCUCCGCCUAACUGCAGUGCUGGUCCCAAAGGUGAUAACGUCUAUGAAUGGAGAUCAACCAUUCUGGGGCCUCCAGGACCCGUGUAUGAGGGUGCUGUAUCCUUCCUUGAUAUCACUUUUACACCAGAAUACCCCCUCAAGCCUCCAAAGGUUACAUUUCAGCCAAGAAUCUAUCGCUGUAAUAUUAACAGUCAAGGAGUUAUUGGCUUGGACAUAUUAAAAGAUAAUUGGAGUCCAGCACUAACCAUUUCUAAAGUUCUUUCUGUCUGCUUCCUUCUUACAGACUGUAAUCCUGCUGACACUUUGGUGGGAAGUAUUGCCACUCAGUAUAUGACCAACAGAGCAGAACAUGACAGAAUGGCCAGAGAGUGGACCAAGAGAUACACUACAUAAAUUGGGU
Callorhinus ursinus (northern fur seal) is the source of this 709-nucleotide non-coding RNA. The record is from RefSeq and is a predicted model, not a curated record. Lineage: Eukaryota; Metazoa; Chordata; Mammalia; Carnivora; Otariidae.